This 921-nucleotide ribosomal RNA is filed under the name uncultured bacterium. Its description in RNAcentral is "bacterial SSU rRNA". It matches the Rfam family "Bacterial small subunit ribosomal RNA", at positions 69 to 986 of the family's 1533-position model. The record is from RNAcentral.
GCAGCGCGGGGCAACCUGGCGGCGAGUGGCGAACGGGUGAGUAAUAUAUCGGAACGUGCCCUGGAGUGGGGGAUAACGCAGCGAAAGUUGCGCUAAUACCGCAUACGAUCUAAGGAUGAAAGCGGGGGAUUCGCAAGAACCUCGUGCUCCUGGAGCGGCCGAUAUCUGAUUAGCUAGUUGGUGGGGUAAAGGCCUACCAAGGCAUCGAUCAGUAGCUGGUCUGAGAGGACGACCAGCCACACUGGAACUGAGACACGGUCCAGACUCCUACGGGAGGCAGCAGUGGGGAAUUUUGGACAAUGGGCGAAAGCCUGAUCCAGCAAUGCCGCGUGAGUGAAGAAGGCCUUCGGGUUGUAAAGCUCUUUUGUCAGGGAAGAAACGGUGAAGGCUAAUAUCCCUUGCUAAUGACGGUACCUGAAGAAUAAGCACCGGCUAACUACGUGCCAGCAGCCGCGGUAAUACGUAGGGUGCAAGCGUUAAUCGGAAUUACUGGGCGUAAAGCGUGCGCAGGCGGUUUUGUAAGUCUGUCGUGAAACCCCCGGGCUCAACCUGGGAAUUGCGAUGGAGACUGCAAGGCUAGAAUCUGGCAGAGGGGGGUAGAAUUCCACGUGUAGCAGUGAAAUGCGUAGAGAUGUGGAGGAACACCGAUGGCGAAGGCAGCCCCCUGGGUCAAGAUUGACGCUCAUGCACGAAAGCGUGGGGAGCAAACAGGAUUAGAUACCCUGGUAGUCCACGCCCUAAACGAUGUCUACUAGUUGUCGGGUUUUAAUUAACUUGGUAACGCAGCUAACGCGUGAAGUAGACCGCCUGGGGAGUACGGUCGCAAGAUUAAAACUCAAAGGAAUUGACGGGGACCCGCACAAGCGGUGGAUGAUGUGGAUUAAUUCGAUGCAACGCGAAAAACCUUACCUACCCUUGACA